CGGGGUGAGUAAUGUAUGGGGAUCUGCCUGAUGGCGGGGGAGUAACUACUGGAAACGGUAGCUAAUACCGCAUAAUGCCUGCGGACCAAAGCGGGGGACCUCCGGGCCUCGCGCCAUCAGAUGAACCCAUAUGGGAUUAGCUUGUAGGUAAGGUAACGGCUUACCUAGGCGACGAUCCCUAGCUGGUCUGAGAGGAUGAUCAGCCACACUGGGACUGAGACACGGCCCAG
Molecule: ribosomal RNA, 230 nt
Filed under: uncultured bacterium
Lineage: Bacteria
Description: partial 16S ribosomal RNA
Rfam family: Bacterial small subunit ribosomal RNA
Source: RNAcentral